Molecule: long non-coding RNA, 209 nt
Filed under: Sorghum bicolor (sorghum)
Lineage: Eukaryota; Viridiplantae; Streptophyta; Magnoliopsida; Poales; Poaceae
Description: long non-coding RNA (SBIC_LNC006897)
Source: RNAcentral
CUCCCCUCUCUCUCCCGCGCGUGGCGCCCGCUUCGCUCCACCCGGCGCCGGCCACGUGGCGACCGUAUGCCGGCGUUGGACGCGUGUUGGGUAUUUUAAACGCAAACAGAAAAAUCCGCAAGCGCACGGAUACCGAUGUAGCCUUCACCCGGGAGUAUUCCAGAGUAUCGAUUUUCCACAGAGAACGUGAGUGUACUAAUUAAGAUCCA